This 1192-nucleotide small RNA is filed under the name Pan troglodytes (chimpanzee). RNAcentral's name for it is "processed transcript". Lineage: Eukaryota; Metazoa; Chordata; Mammalia; Primates; Hominidae. The record is from RNAcentral.
UUAGGAAAGCCAUAGAUCCCAGUAGGACUAAGGCUGGCCAUCCCUGUUCCAUUCCAUAUCAGGCUGUCUUCUCCUAGCCUUCCAGCUCCUUAAAUCUGGCCCCCGCCCUCCCAAGCUCCCAAUAAGGCCUUUUGUGGGGAAGCCUGUGGAGUGUUUAUUGGAGCUAAAGCCAGGCCAUUAUUAGCACUGCCUAAGCCUGUCCGUCACCUCAGCAGGGUGAAGGGCCAAUUAUAACAAAAGUAGGUAAGGAGCUUGCCUCCUCUCUAAUAAGGGAAGGAGUGAAACCACUACUUCUGAAGGGACGGAGAUACAAAAUUCCAUGUUGUGGGAAUGUCCUUCCAAGUCUUAAACAGCUUUUAGGGCAGGUGAGAGCCUCUGCUCCUAUACCAGCACAUAGUCUCGACAGUUGUGCUGCUGUUCGUGUUUUGUGGGGAGGCGCAGUGUCUGUAGGCCGUGUGGCUUGCAGAGUGUCUUUCGGCCCAGGUAAACGCCGCUGUGAAGGACUCCAGGAAAGCUGUUCCCAUCACAAUCCCCCUGCCUGACAGCCACAGGAGUCCAUGGAUACAGCCCAGGGAAGGAAGGAGAACAGCCCCCAGUGCCCUUUCUUCUCCUAUUACCUACCACAGAAAUCCCCGAAAUUAGGUUUUCCCCACCAAAUACACAUACGCUGACAUCAACUAAGCAAGUGACUUUUAAAAACAAAACUGACAUUCAGAGGGAAAGGAAUCAUUGGCUGAGCUGGGGUGGCCUAAAACAGCAACAAUGAGGAAGCCGCAGGAGGGAUUAUUAGUACAAAUGAACUCGAAUAAGCUCGGCGUAGGGUGGGGGAGGGGAGUUGGGGCCUUGACUUAGUCACUAAAAAGGGGCUUGGGGAGAGAUGGAAUCUGCGCCCUGUUCUAUCCCCAGAGCUCUCCCUGGAAUCUUAAUUCCCCUUUCCUAAAACUCACUCCCCCUCAAAAAAUGUAAAAAUUGGUUAUUUUUUAGUGGGUAGAAGGGAGCUCCGAUGUGGCUUUUUAAAAUCUACUUUUUUUUUUUUUUUUAAUCCAUAGAAAAUGCAGUAGUUUGGAGGGAGGUGUACCCUUAGAAGUGGUUAAUAGAACCUUGUAUAAACACCUUUCACCAGCCCUUCCUUUAGGGCAGCAUUCCCAUCCUAUCCUCUCUCCCAGACAUUAUAAACAUCUUUUAAACAGAA